AUUGACUGCACGAUAUAUUAUGGACGUUGUCAGGAUCUAUCUCCUCUUUUGCGCAGCUCUUUUCCACUGCACGUACUAUUCAGGUGUCGCAGGGAAACACGCAAAAAAAAUAUCCGUAAGAGGCGGCGUUCCAAACGACAGUGGACACCAGGCUAACAGUAAAUUUAUAAAAAUGUCUUUCUUAAAUGCUUUAAAAAUUUAUAGCUCGAAAAUUGCGGAUGACGAAAUGGAAUAAAAAAAGGCGGAAUUUGAUAAUCAAGUGCUGUGGUGGCAACUCGUGUUUGGACCCACCAGACAAAAUAACCAAAUAUCGACAGAAUAAAACCACAACACAAAUAACUCGAAAGCCAGGCCCUAUCUCGACUAAAUCGGCAGAGACCUUAAAAGAAAUAGCCGAAACAAAUUUGAAGAACGCGCCGACUGAAGCCUCUGGCCAAAUCACGAAUGGCAAUGAUCAAACUCUGGAGG
Molecule: long non-coding RNA, 468 nt
Organism: Cloeon dipterum
Lineage: Eukaryota; Metazoa; Arthropoda; Insecta; Ephemeroptera; Baetidae
Exons: 3
Source: RefSeq, a predicted model, not a curated record